GAGACUCAUCGUUAGCGAUUGGUUCUCGUUCGCGUUGGGCGCGAUGUUUGAGACGUGGUGUUCAUUUUUAAUGUCGCCUGUCGAUUUCACGCGUUCGCUGCGUAACGUUUGAUCUCGUUGACGUGCACUUCUCCUCUAGUAGGACGUCGCGACCCGCUGGGUGUCGAUUUUAAGGGCAUUAGAUUCGACUGUUCCGUCGUUAACUCGUACGUGGGCAGAGUCUUUUGAAUUCCCCUGAUCGACUGCUCGGCGGUAGUAAAGAACGGUAUUCAGCCGCACGCAAAUGCGUUCAGACUCGCCGCAAGCCAGACCAUUGUUAUUCUCGGGUGUGCGCACUUUGUGUCGUCGCCAGGGAGUGGUUGGCUGUUGGCGCGCGAUGUUCUCGAACUGGCUGUGUCAAUGUUAAUAUACCGGUCGGCGACGCUAUUGAUUUGGGUACUUUCAGGACCCGUCUUGAAACACGGACCAAGGAGUCUAACAUGUACGCGAGUCAUUGGGACUUUGAAACCUAAAGGCGAAUUGAAAGAGAAGAUCGACCUCGCGCCGAUCGAGGGAGGAUGAGUGUAGAUGAGGGACACAUUUGUGUGUACCUUUAAAUGCACUCCGCACUCCCGGGGCGUCUCGUUGUCAUUUGACUUGAGGCGCACCCAGAGCGUACACGUUGGGACCCGAAAGAUGGUGAACUAUGCCUGGUCAGGACGAAGUCAGGGGAAACCCUGAUGGAGGUCCGUAGCGAUUCUGACGUGCAAAUCGAUCGUCGGAACUGGGUAUAGG
RNAcentral lists this ribosomal RNA (774 nucleotides) under Synoditella sp. OSUC 165065. RNAcentral's name for it is "partial 28S ribosomal RNA". It matches the Rfam family "Eukaryotic large subunit ribosomal RNA", at positions 487 to 921 of the family's 3401-position model. Lineage: Eukaryota; Metazoa; Arthropoda; Insecta; Hymenoptera; Scelionidae. The record is from RNAcentral.